GCAGGAAAGCUAGCCUAAACACACCAAGUAAACAUCCAACUAUAAAUAUCCGAAAAAACAACAACUAAAGCAUUUUUCCACCCAAGUAUGGGCGACAGAAAAGGA
RNAcentral lists this ribosomal RNA (105 nucleotides) under Myrichthys colubrinus (harlequin snake eel). Its description in RNAcentral is "partial 16S rRNA". The record is from RNAcentral. Lineage: Eukaryota; Metazoa; Chordata; Actinopteri; Anguilliformes; Ophichthidae.